UACAGAGGGUGCAAGCGUUGUCCGGAAUCACUGGGCGUAAAGCGCGCGUAGGCGGCCACUUAAGUCGGAUGUGAAAGCCCCGGGCUCAACCUGGGAAUGGCAAUGGAAACUGGCGGGCUUGAGUGUGGCAGAGGGGGGUGGAAUUCCGCGUGUAGCAGUGAAAUGCGUAGAGAUGCGGAGGAACACCGAUGGCGAAGGCAGCCCCCUGGGCCAACACUGACGCUCAGGCACGAAAGCGUGGGGAGCAAACAGG
This 253-nucleotide ribosomal RNA is filed under the name uncultured bacterium. RNAcentral describes it as "partial 16S ribosomal RNA". It matches the Rfam family "Bacterial small subunit ribosomal RNA", at positions 524 to 776 of the family's 1533-position model. The record is from RNAcentral.